CGUCAGCGCCGGAUGGCCGCGACACCAGCCUCCCCGGGCAACCGGGUCGCUGGGAUCGAGGAAAGUCCGGGCUCCGCAGGGCAGGGUGGUCGCCAAAUGCGACCGUCUCCAGUCACAGGGGGAUAGGGACAGUACAACAGAGAACAGACCGCCGGGCGUCGCAAGACGCCCGGUAAGGGUGAAACGGCGGGGUAAGAGCCCACCGCACGACCCGCGAGGGAAGUGGCACGGCAAACCCCACCCGGAGCAAGCCGAGCCUGGCGAGGUGCUGCCCGCACCGCUUGAACCAGGCGUAAGGUGCUAGAUGACCUGGAGCAAUCCAGGUCGCGAGAGAAAUGGCCAUCUGCAAAACAGAACCCGGCUUAGAGGCGCCAUCUGUGA
RNAcentral lists this RNase P RNA (381 nucleotides) under Planctomycetota bacterium. RNAcentral describes it as "RNase P RNA component class A". It matches the Rfam family "Bacterial RNase P class A". From Rfam's summary of the family: Ribonuclease P (RNase P) is a ubiquitous endoribonuclease, found in archaea, bacteria and eukarya as well as chloroplasts and mitochondria. Lineage: Bacteria; Pseudomonadati; Planctomycetota. The record is from RNAcentral.